GAUGAACGCUGGCGGCGUGCUUAACACAUGCAAGUCGAACGUGAUCCCGAUUUCGGUUGGGUGAAAGUGGCGAACGGGUGCGUAACACGUAGGUGACCUGCCCCGAGGUGGGGGAUAACUGUGGGAAACCAUGGCUAAAACCCCAGAUGUCUAAAUUACUAGAAGGUUUAGACUAAAACUCCGGUGCCUCGGGAGGGGCCUGCGGGCUAUCAGCUAGUUGGUGAGGUAAUGGCUUACCAAGGCUAAGACGGCUAGGGGGCGUGAGAGCGUGACCCCCCACAAUGGAACUGAGACACGGUCCAUACUCCUACGGGAGGGCAG
RNAcentral lists this ribosomal RNA (321 nucleotides) under uncultured Chloroflexota bacterium. RNAcentral's name for it is "bacterial SSU rRNA". It matches the Rfam family "Bacterial small subunit ribosomal RNA", at positions 28 to 354 of the family's 1533-position model. Lineage: Bacteria; Bacillati; Chloroflexota. The record is from RNAcentral.